GUAAACACAAAGAAGAGAAGAAGUAGUAGGUGACGAUUUUUCAGAGAGGCUGCGGGUGGUGGAAGCAGUCAAAUCAACGCUUACGAAAUGCACCUCCGAGUGGUCUUAGCGAUAUGUAGCUAAGGACGUUUCACAGACGUUACCUGUUUUGAGGCAGAUAAACUGCAAACAAAAGUGGGACCACGUUAAAGCGUCUUUUGA
This 201-nucleotide non-coding RNA is filed under the name Enterococcus avium. RNAcentral describes it as "T-box sequence". It matches the Rfam family "T-box leader". Rfam says of the family: Uncharged tRNA acts as the effector for transcription antitermination of genes in the T-box leader family. T-boxes are found upstream of many aminoacyl-tRNA synthetase genes and some amino acid biosynthetic genes usually in Gram-positive bacteria. Lineage: Bacteria; Bacillati; Bacillota; Bacilli; Lactobacillales; Enterococcaceae. The record is from RNAcentral.